Molecule: ribosomal RNA, 690 nt
Filed under: uncultured Staphylococcus sp.
Lineage: Bacteria; Bacillati; Bacillota; Bacilli; Caryophanales; Staphylococcaceae
Description: bacterial SSU rRNA
Rfam family: Bacterial small subunit ribosomal RNA
Source: RNAcentral
AACGCUGGCGGCGUGCCUAAUACAUGCAAGUCGAGCGAACGGACGAGAAGCUUGCUUCUCUGAUGUUAGCGGCGGGCGGGUGAGUAACACGUGGAUAACCUACCUAUAAGACUGGGAUAACUUCGGGAAACCGGAGCUAAUACCGGAUGAUAUUUUGAACCGCAUGGUUCAAAAGUGAAAGACGGUCUUGCUGUCACUUAUAGAUGGAUCCGCGCUGCAUUAGCUAGUUGGUAAGGUAACGGCUUACCAAGGCAACGAUGCAUAGCCGACCUGAGAGGGUGAUCGGCCACACUGGAACUGAGACACGGUCCAGACUCCUACGGGAGGCAGCAGUAGGGAAUCUUCCGCAAUGGGCGAAAGCCUGACGGAGCAACGCCGCGUGAGUGAUGAAGGUCUUCGGAUCGUAAAGCUCUGUUAUUAGGGAAGAACAUAUGUGUAAGUAACUGUGCACAUCUUGACGGUACCUAAUCAGAAAGCCACGGCUAACUACGUGCCAGCAGCCGCGGUAAUACGUAGGUGGCAAGCGUUAUCCGGAAUUAUUGGGCGUAAAGCGCGCGUAGGCGGUUUUUUAAGUCUGAUGUGAAAGCCCACGGCUCAACCGUGGAGGGUCAUUGGAAACUGGAAUACUUGAGUGCAGAAGAGGAAAGUGGAAUUCCAUGUGUAGCGGUGAUAUGCGCAGAGAUAUGGAGG